Brassica rapa (field mustard) is the source of this 610-nucleotide long non-coding RNA. RefSeq lists it as uncharacterized. NCBI's taxonomy places the organism in Eukaryota, Viridiplantae, Streptophyta, Magnoliopsida, Brassicales, Brassicaceae. The record is from RefSeq and is a predicted model, not a curated record.
GUUUGGUGUCGAGGAUUGAGGUUGGGCUCGCGACGGCGUCGUUUUCAGUGAAGCUUUUGAAGCUGGUGAAAGCUGUGAAGAGGCGUGGAAACGUUUUGGGCGUGGGUUUGCUCUGUUUCUGGUUCGUAUCCGCCAUUAAUGCUUGCUUGCUUCUCGAUCUCUUCUUUAGCAUAAUUCACUGCUCAAGAAGAAAAAAAUCAAAACUUUGAACUGAGUUAAAAGUUUCAGAGAAAAUAAAGGUGAUGCAGUUCUGUUGCCUCCAUGAUGCUGAGAAAAAAAUGAAGUGUACAGUGAAGAGAAAAGUAGAGUACAAGAGAAAACAAAAUGAAAGUAACUGAAAAGAUGAGAGCUUUGUUAUUUGAAGGAAAACAAAAAAAAAGGAUUUUUUCACUCCCGACUUUCUCGCAUGUAAACGUGAAACGUUCAGCUAGAGUUUGGAGGAAGAAGAAGCAAACAAAAACAGGAAAAUAUAAUAAAAAUAAAUAAAAAGAGAGAAAAUGAUCCGUUUGCUUUUGCUUUUUUUAAUGUUUGUGACUUUAGUGGGUUAUAGUUUCGAUGGCCUGAGGGAAAAGAAGAGAACAAAACAGCCCCACUGAUUCUCUCCCGUAUC